UAUAUACCAAUAUACGGCUUGAGUCGAUUCAGUUGCACGCGAGUGUAGUUGGAAAAGCCUAUAUAAAAUGCCAAACUGGAGAAAUUACUGCAAAAAGCCAAGUCGAUUUUAUGACCGCUGCAUAAGAUUUUGAAGCGGAUUAAAAGUCUAAAUAUAUUUCAACGACAGUUGCCUCCCACACGGAUAUUCCUCUGUAAUUGGAGAAUCGUGAUACUUGUUACUCCUGAUAUUUCUUCUGUGAAGAAAUCUCUCGUAGUAAGAAAGAGAAUAGGCAAUACAGGCUGUAAUAUCGGCAAUAAUUUCAAGUUCUUCUCAUAAAAAGGACCUUGAUAAUGAUCAAGUUAAAAAUCAAAUAAAGAAAACAGCGAAAAAAACGUAUAAAAAAACAAGAAGAAAAUAACAAACAAGACAAACAAGAAAGAUAUGAUCGACAGUGACUCUUCAGACUCGGAUCCUGGUUCUAUAUCUGGUAGUAAUACAGACUCGUCCGACGAAUUUGCAACGACAAAUGAGUGUGAGAUUGUUUUUUUCUGUAAUUAAAAAUAUAACGAGGAUAAAGGUGUGAAGAAUGAAUACAGGGCUUAAUGUGCGAAUUGUGGGUUCACGGUGCUUGUGGUGGUUCAUUCCGGUUCAUACAUCCGUAUCAUUUUUGCCAAGCAAUCGAAAAAAGAACCCACUACUAAUGUUCAACAACUACACGUAUAAAAAACAGUGGGAGUGUACUUCGGGAAAGGUCAUCUGGUACUGUUCGAAGCGGAAAAGAGGAUGUAAAGCAUUUGUUCACAGCAGAGAUGGGAUAUUUACACCUGGCGAUCUGAUACACACGCAUCCAGCUCCACCAUACAUGAGAGGCAAUGAUGGGUCAUGGGUAAAGUUAUAGAGAAAUACACCAAAAGUCAAUAACUAAUAAUAAACGCCUAUAAUAAACA
This is a long non-coding RNA of Melitaea cinxia (Glanville fritillary), 929 nucleotides long. RefSeq lists it as uncharacterized. The transcript has 2 exons. The record is from RefSeq and is a predicted model, not a curated record. NCBI's taxonomy places the organism in Eukaryota, Metazoa, Arthropoda, Insecta, Lepidoptera, Nymphalidae.